This 444-nucleotide ribosomal RNA is filed under the name uncultured Alphaproteobacteria bacterium. RNAcentral's name for it is "bacterial SSU rRNA". It matches the Rfam family "Bacterial small subunit ribosomal RNA", at positions 8 to 496 of the family's 1533-position model. The record is from RNAcentral. Lineage: Bacteria; Pseudomonadati; Pseudomonadota; Alphaproteobacteria.
AGAGUUUGAUCCUGGCUCAGAGCGAACGCUGGCGGCAGGCUUAACACAUGCAAGUCGAGCGGGCGUAGCAAUACGUCAGCGGCAGACGGGUGAGUAACGCGUGGGAACAUACCUUUUGGUUCGGAACAACACAGGGAAACUUGUGCUAAUACCGGAUAAGCCCUUACGGGGAAAGAUUUAUCGCCGAAAGAUUGGCCCGCGUCUGAUUAGCUAGUUGGUGAGGUAAUGGCUCACCAAGGCGACGAUCAGUAGCUGGUCUGAGAGGAUGAUCAGCCACAUUGGGACUGAGACACGGCCCAAACUCCUACGGGAGGCAGCAGUGGGGAAUAUUGGACAAUGGGCGCAAGCCUGAUCCAGCCAUGCCGCGUGAGUGANGAAGGCCCUAGGGUUGUAAAGCUCUUUUGUGCGGGAAGAUAAUGACGGUACCGCAAGAAUUAGCCCCGG